Molecule: transfer RNA, 62 nt
Filed under: Fimbriaria fasciolaris
Lineage: Eukaryota; Metazoa; Platyhelminthes; Cestoda; Cyclophyllidea; Hymenolepididae
Description: tRNA-Lys
Source: RNAcentral
AUCUACAUAUCUAAGUUUAAGAGCUGGGUUCUUACCUCAGUAAUGUGCGUGAGAUGUAAUUU